GACUCUUGAGGUCCAGGCACAGCCCUGUGUGGAAGAUAGUGUGUGAGGCUGAAACCCAGAGUGUGUCAUCAUCUGGAAACAACCCUGCAAAGGGCCCAUAGUGGAUGGCUGUAUGGGGGCCAUGUGACUGAACUCCUGAUCCUCGUUUCAGCCCACUCAUGUGACAUGCAUGGAGCUCUUCAGCAGGGACUUACUGACCAGGACAAGAGCUUGAGACUUUGAGGGGAUCUGAUUGUCACUGCACAAUCAAGGACAGUAUUCCCAAGAGUGGAUGUUGCUCAAGAUAGUCCAAGGAAUUCUAUGAAGAAAAGGACUCCACAGACAAUAAAUUUUGGACACCCUGUUUCAACACAGUGCAUCUUAGAGACUGGUGUUUGCAAGUAUAUGGAGCAGGAAACUUCAUCCCGAAGAUGGAGACCCCGGGGCUGUCAGCAGGCGUUAGGCAAGUGCCUCAAAAUUCCCAAUUCCCAGCAAGAGAAGCCAACUGAAGGAUGAGACAGGGUUUCUGCCUUCCCUGGGUCCUCCAGUAUUACAUGGAGGGGUUGGAGUGAACCUUCUGGAGGUGGGGUCAAUGACUCUUGGAGGUAGGGGAAAGCUUCCUUUGACCAAGUUGCACACAAAGACAGAAAACGUGUUUGCAUGGGCAUUGUUUAACCUGCUUAAAAGAAUGAAAAGAUUUUAGCACUUUUUUCUUUUUCUGUAAUUACUAAAGAAGUACAUGUUUUUGCAAAAAAAAAAAAAAAUCAAACAAUAUACAAGUAUAUAGAGUAAAAAGUGGAAGUCCUCCUUUCAUCUCCUCCCUGCAUCCCUCCCUGCACCCUGGAGUGUUCCAUAUUAAGGUUUUGGUAUGCCUGGUUCAGUGGGUGAGAAGAUUAAUCUGGAGUCAGCACUCUGAGAUUGAAUCUCAGCUUUGCCACAUGCUAGCUCUGUUUCCUUGGGCACAAGCCUCACUUUGCUCAUCUCUAAAAUAAAGUAGCCGUAGGAAGGGCUUGGCAGGUAUGGGAUGAGAUGAAACACAGAAAGCCCUAAUGCAGCACCUGAACCUAGUUGGAUUCAGUUAAAUUUGGCCGUUAGAAUUUUCCUUCCAGAAUCCAGGCAUUUUUUAAAAGGUCCAAUUUCAUUCAAUGGAUGUGCUAAUUCGAGAAUGGGGUCCAUCUCUUAAUCUGUUCAUGUGACUCUUUUUUAAGUCCUCAAGGGCAGUUUCUAUGCAGAAACCACUAUUUAGAGGUUUACUUUAUUUUUUCAAGUUCAUAGUCAAAUUGUCAAAGCUGGAAAUUAAAAAAAAGCAGAUUACUUGACUUUCUUUAUUCUACACAUUAGCUCGUUUUUAAUGCUAGGAACUAAGAACUUUUCUAGGACUUUGAUGGAAUGAUUACUAUCUUAGAAAAUGCCAUGCCUCCAUAAAUAUAUAUGCCUACUAUGUACCUGCAAAAAUUAAAAAUAAAAACUUUGUUAAAAGAAAAAAAAAAAGAAAAUGCCAUGCUUUUAAGUUCAGCUUACAAAAGUUCUCAUUCUUUUUAUAAAUCCAGCUAGAAUUUCCA
Molecule: long non-coding RNA, 1541 nt
Organism: Homo sapiens (human)
Lineage: Eukaryota; Metazoa; Chordata; Mammalia; Primates; Hominidae
Exons: 3
Source: RefSeq, a predicted model, not a curated record